GACGAACGCUGGCGGCGUGCUUAACACAUGCAAGUCGAACGGUAAGGCCCUUCGGGGUACACAAGUGGCGAACGGGUGAGUAACACGUGGGUGAUCUGCCCUGCACUUCGGGAUAAGCCUGGGAAACUGGGUCUAAUACCGGAUAGGACCCUGGGAUGCAUGUCCUGGGGUGGAAAGCUUUUGCGGUGUGGGAUGGGCCCGCGGCCUAUCAGCUUGUUGGUGGGGUGAUGGCCUACCAAGGCGACGACGGGUAGCCGGCCUGAGAGGGUGACCGGCCACACUGGGACGGAGAUACGGCCCAGACUCCUACGGGAGGCAGCAGUGGGGAAUAUUGCACAAUGGGCGCAAGCCUGAUGCAGCGACGCCGCAUGAGGGAUGACGGCCUUCGGGUUGUAAACCUCUUUCAGCACCGACGAAGCGCAAGUGACGGUAGGUGCAGAAGAAGGACCGGCCAACUACGUGCCAGCCGCCGCCGUAA
RNAcentral lists this ribosomal RNA (478 nucleotides) under uncultured bacterium. Its description in RNAcentral is "partial 16S ribosomal RNA". It matches the Rfam family "Bacterial small subunit ribosomal RNA", at positions 28 to 523 of the family's 1533-position model. The record is from RNAcentral.